This is a non-coding RNA of Trichonephila clavata, 73 nucleotides long. The record is from the annotation of a GenBank genome assembly. Lineage: Eukaryota; Metazoa; Arthropoda; Arachnida; Araneae; Nephilidae.
GUCCCGGUAGUGCAACGGAUAGUGCUUUGGGCUUUUAAUCCAAAACUCGUGGUUUUGAAUUCCACCUGGAAUG